GUUAAGAAUUUGAUCCUAGUUCAGGGUGAAUGCUAGCGGUGUGCUUAAGAUAUGCAAGUCGAGCGAUUCUUCGCAAGAAGGAUAGCGGCGAACGGCUGAGUAACACGUAGGAACCUACCCCCAACUCAGGGAUAGCUCCGGGAAACCGGAAUUAAUACCUGAUGUGAAGGCAACUUUAAAGAUUUAUCGGUUGGGGAUGGGCCUGCGGCCUAUCAGGUAGUUGGCGGGGUAAAUGCCCACCAAGCCUACGACGGGUAGCUGAUGUUAGCGCAUGAUCAGCCAGAGGGGCACUGAGACACGGGCCUCACUCCUACGGGAGGCAGCAAUCGGGAA
Molecule: ribosomal RNA, 333 nt
Filed under: candidate division WWE3 bacterium RIFOXYD1_FULL_40_11
Lineage: Bacteria; candidate division WWE3
Description: bacterial SSU rRNA
Rfam family: Bacterial small subunit ribosomal RNA
Source: RNAcentral